CAAGUUUUUAAGGGCGCACGGUGGAUGCCUUGGCACCAGGAACCGAUGAAGGACGUGGGAGGCCACGAUAGGCCCCGGGGAGCUGUCAACCGAGCUUUGAUCCGGGGGUGUCCGAAUGGGGAAACCCGGCAGUCGUCAUGGGCUGUCACCCAUACCUGAACACAUAGGGUAUGUGGAGGGAACGCGGGGAAGUGAAACAUCUCAGUACCCGCAGGAAGAGAAAACAACCGUGAUUCCGGGAGUAGUGGCGAGCGAAACUGGAUGAGGCCAAACCGUAUUGGUGUGAUACCCGGCAGGGGUUGCCAGUGCGGGGUUGUGGGAUCUCUUUUCUGCAGUCUGCCGGCUGUGGGACGAGUCAGAAACCGUUGAUGUAGGCGAAGGACAUGCGAAAGGUCCGGCGUAGAGGGUAAGACCCCCGUAGCUGAAACGUCAGCGGCUCGUUUAAGAGACACCCAAGUAGCACGGGGCCCGUGAAAUCCCGUGUGAAUCUGGCGGGACCACCCGCUAAGCCUAAAUAUUCCCUGGUGACCGAUAGCGGAUAGUACCGUGAGGGAAUGGUGAAAAGUACCGCGGGAGCGGAGUGAAAUAGUACCUGAAACCGUGUGCCUACAAGCCGUGGGAGCGUCGCUAUGCAGCUUGCUGCAUAGUCGUGACUGCGUGCCUUUUGAAGAAUGAGCCUGCGAGUUUGCGGUAUGUUGCGAGGUUAACCCGUGUGGGGAAGCCGUAGCGAAAGCGAGUCCGAAGAGGGCGUUCAGUAGCGUGCCCAAGACCCGAAGCGGAGUGAUCUAGCCAUGGGCAGGUUGAAGCGGAGGUAAGACUUCGUGGAGGACCGAACCCACCAGGGUUGAAAACCUGGGGGAUGACCUGUGGUUAGGGGUGAAAGGCCAAUCAAACUCCGUGAUAGCUGGUUCUCCCCGAAAUGCAUUUAGGUGCAGCGUCGUGUGUUUCUUGCCGGAGGUAGAGCACUGGAUAGGCGAUGGGCCCUACCGGGUUACUGACCUUAGCCAAACUCCGAAUGCCGGUAAGUGAGAGCGCGGCAGUGAGACUGUGGGGGAUAAGCUCCAUGGUCGAGAGGGAAACAGCCCAGAGCAUCGACUAAGGCCCCUAAGCGUGUGCUAAGUGGGAAAGGAUGUGGAGUCGCAGAGACAACCAGGAGGUUGGCUUAGAAGCAGCCAUCCUUGAAAGAGUGCGUAAUAGCUCACUGGUCAAGUGAUUCCGCGCCGACAAUGUAGCGGGGCUCAAGCACACCGCCGAAGUCGUGUCAUUGCAGUAUGUACUCCUAACGGGGACUGUGAUGGGUAGGGGAGCGUCGUGUGCCGGGUGAAGCAGCACCGGAAGGUAGUUGUGGACGGUUCACGAGUGAGAAUGCAGGCAUGAGUAGCGAUACACACGUGGGAAACGUGUGCGCCGAUUGACUAAGGGUUCCUGGGUCAAGCUGAUCUGCCCAGGGUAAGUCGGGACCUAAGGCGAGGCCGACAGGCGUAGUCGAUGGACAACCGGUUGAUAUUCCGGUACCCGCUUUGAAGCGCCAAACAUCGAAUCAGGCGAUGCUAAGUCCGUGAAGCCGCCCUGAGCUCUUCGGAGCGUAGGGGAGUGGUGGAGCCGACGAACCAGACUUGUAGUAGGUGAGUGAUGGGGUGACGCAGGAAGGUAGUCCAGCCCGGGCGGUGGUUGUCCCGGGGUAAGGGUGUAGCCCGUGCGGUAGGCAAAUCCGUCGCACGUUAAGGGUGAGACCUGAUGCCGAGCCGAUUGUGGUGAAGUGGAUGAUCCUAUGCUGUCGAGAAAAGCCUCUAGCGAGUUUCAUGGCGGCCCGUACCCUAAACCGACUCAGGUGGUCAGGUAGAGAAUACCGAGGCGUUCGGGUGAACUAUGGUUAAGGAACUCGGCAAAAUGCCCCCGUAACUUCGGGAGAAGGGGGGCCAUUGCUGGUGAUGAGUCUUGCACUCUGAGCUGGUGGUGGCCGCAGAGACCAGCGAGAAGCGACUGUUUACUAAAAACACAGGUCCGUGCGAAGCCGUAAGGCGAUGUAUACGGACUGACGCCUGCCCGGUGCUGGAACGUUAAGGGGACCGGUUAGCUCUGUUUCGACAGGGCGAAGCUGAGAACUUAAGCGCCAGUAAACGGCGGUGGUAACUAUAACCAUCCUAAGGUAGCGAAAUUCCUUGUCGGGUAAGUUCCGACCUGCACGAAUGGCGUAACGACUUCUCGACUGUCUCAACCAUAGGCCCGGUGAAAUUGCACUACGAGUAAAGAUGCUCGUUUCGCGCAGCAGGACGGAAAGACCCCGGGACCUUUACUAUAGCUUGAUAUUGGUGUUCGGUUCGGCUUGUGUAGGAUAGGUGGGAGACUGUGAACUCGUCACGCCAGUGGCGGGGGAGUCGUUGUUGAAAUACCACUCUGGUCGUGCUGGAUGUCUAACCUGGGUCCGUGAUCCGGAUCAGGGACAGUGUCUGGUGGGUAGUUUAACUGGGGCGGUUGCCUCCUAAAGAGUAACGGAGGCGCCCAAAGGUUCCCUCAGCCUGGUUGGCAAUCAGGUGUUGAGUGUAAGUGCACAAGGGAGCUUGACUGUGAGACUGACGGGUCGAGCAGGUACGAAAGUAGGGACUAGUGAUCCGGCGGUGGCUUGUGGAAGCGCCGUCGCUCAACGGAUAAAAGGUACCCCGGGGAUAACAGGCUGAUCUUCCCCAAGAGUCCAUAUCGACGGGAUGGUUUGGCACCUCGAUGUCGGCUCGUCGCAUCCUGGGGCUGGAGUCGGUCCCAAGGGUUGGGCUGUUCGCCCAUUAAAGCGGUACGCGAGCUGGGUUUAGAACGUCGUGAGACAGUUCGGUCCCUAUCCGCUGUGCGCGUAGGAGUCUUGAGAAGGGCUGUCCCUAGUACGAGAGGACCGGGACGGACGAACCUCUGGUGUGCCAGUUGUCCUGCCAAGGGCAUGGCUGGUUGGCUACGUUCGGAAAGGAUAACCGCUGAAAGCAUCUAAGCGGGAAGCCUGCUUCGAGAUGAGGGCUCCCUCCUCCUUGAGAGGGUAAGGCUCCCAGUAGACGACUGGGUUGAUAGGCCAGAUAUGGAAGCCCGGUAACGGGUGGAGUUGACUGGUACUAAUAGGCCGAGGGCUUGUCC
This 3117-nucleotide ribosomal RNA is filed under the name Streptomyces paromomycinus. Its description in RNAcentral is "23S ribosomal RNA". It matches the Rfam family "Bacterial large subunit ribosomal RNA". The record is from RNAcentral. Lineage: Bacteria; Bacillati; Actinomycetota; Actinomycetes; Kitasatosporales; Streptomycetaceae.